CGGGACGGGUGAGUAACGCGUGGGUAACCUGCCUCAUACAGGGGGAUAGCAGCUGGAAACGGCUGGUAAUACCGCAUAAGCGCACAGUACCACAUGGUACAGUGUGAAAAACUCCGGUGGUAUGAGAUGGACCCGCGUCUGAUUAGCUGGUUGGCGGGGUAACGGCCUACCAAGGCGACGAUCAGUAGCCGACCUGAGAGGGUGACCGGCCACAUUGGGACUGAGACACGGCCCAG
Molecule: ribosomal RNA, 236 nt
Filed under: uncultured bacterium
Lineage: Bacteria
Description: partial 16S ribosomal RNA
Rfam family: Bacterial small subunit ribosomal RNA
Source: RNAcentral